Molecule: ribosomal RNA, 431 nt
Filed under: uncultured bacterium
Lineage: Bacteria
Description: partial 16S ribosomal RNA
Rfam family: Bacterial small subunit ribosomal RNA
Source: RNAcentral
AACGAACGCUGGCGGCAGGCUUAACACAUGCAAGUCGAGCGCCCCGCAAGGGGAGCGGCAGACGGGUGAGUAACGCGUGGGAACGUACCUUUUGGUUCGGAACAACUCCGGGAAACUGGAGCUAAUACCGGAUAAGCCCUAACGGGGAAAGAUUUAUCGCCGAAAGAUCGGCCCGCGUCUGAUUAGCUAGUUGGUGAGGUAACGGCUCACCAAGGCGACGAUCAGUAGCUGGUCUGAGAGGAUGAUCAGCCACACUGGGACUGAGACACGGCCCAGACUCCUACGGGAGGCAGCAGUGGGGAAUAUUGGACAAUGGGCGCAAGCCCGAUCCAGCCAUGCCGCGUGAGUGAUGAAGGCCUUAGGGUUGUAAAGCUCUUUUGUCCGGGAAGAUAAUGACUGUACCGGAAGAAUAAGCCCCGGCUAACUUCGUG